AAAUGAAGUGCUUCUGGAAUUUUAGAAUAUAUAUGACUUAUUCUUUUAUUUUCUCCAUGUUUUUCCCUGCCUCUGCCUCGCUGACUCCAGUGGAGAAAAAGUAACUACCGUGUUUCCCCGAAAAUAAGACCUCACCAAAGAAUAAGACCUAGCAGGGGUUUGGGGGGAUUGCCAAAUAUAAGGCCUCCCCUGAAAGUAAGACCUAGCAACUAAGGCUGCAGCAGAGUUCCAUUGGGAAGCACAGCUGCAGGGCUAAAGCAGCACUCAUACACACACCGGAGGGAGGGAGGGAGAGAAAGUGCUUGCUUUCUGUGCCUCCCUCCCUUGCCUUGCCUGUCCCCCAGCUUGAAAAACCUUCCGUGGCUGCUGCUGCGCUGCCGUUUCUUCCUUCGGAGACAAGGCCAUGCUGGCCAUGCUCCCUUGCUUCCCAGAGGCUUCUGAUUGGCUCCUGGAGCCAGGGCAAGGGAGGGUGGGAGGGAAGGAAGAGGGCUUUUCACUCGUCCCCAAGGCUUCUGCUCCUUAAAGGAAUUCACACCAUGAAAAAGAAAAAUUGAAGAACCUUGCCCUCCAGAGGGUCUGAAGCUUACUUCUUUGAAGGUUGUAUAGGACUUGUAAAGAUUGCACUGCUUCUGAUGUAUUUUUAUCUAUUUCUGUUUUAAGCUCCUCUGAGUAUAACUGGAGAAGACUAGGCAUAAAUCAAUAAUUACUUACAGUACUUGCUUACAGUUCAUUGACCAAGGUGAGAAGUAUAUGAGAGGAGUCUUAGUCUUUGACUAAGUAGAGUCUGGUUUUAAGAAGUGUGAUUGUGUUAUUGUUUGAAGGGAGUAGCAACCAUCACACUGGGCCCUUCUAAAUUGCCAUAUAACCCAGAACAUCAAGGCAGAUAAUCCAACUAUCCAGAAUAUCAAAGCAUACUGGGUUAUCCGAAUCUACACUGCCAUAUAAUCCAGUUCAAAGCAGAUAAUCUAGAGAGUGGAAAGUUUGUAGUUUUUUAGAUAAUUGUUCAGUUGUAAAUUAGUUCUUGCAUAUAGCAUGUAGUUGUAUAGUCCUUCUAGUUUUAUAAAUCUAAAAUUCUUGCUUUAUUCUUGUAUAAUUCCUUUUAAAAAACUUAUUCAA
This 1116-nucleotide long non-coding RNA is filed under the name Anolis carolinensis (green anole). Its description in RNAcentral is "lncRNA (ENSACAG00000037456.1)". The record is from RNAcentral. Lineage: Eukaryota; Metazoa; Chordata; Lepidosauria; Squamata; Anolidae.